Molecule: ribosomal RNA, 253 nt
Filed under: uncultured bacterium
Lineage: Bacteria
Description: partial 16S ribosomal RNA
Rfam family: Bacterial small subunit ribosomal RNA
Source: RNAcentral
UACAGAGGUCUCGAGCGUUAGGCGGAAUCACUGGGCUUAAAGCGUGUGUAGGCGGAUCGUUAAGUGCCUUGUGAAAUCCCACGGCUCAACCGUGGAACUGCUUGGCAUACUGGCGGUCUUGAGCAACCUAGGGGCGAGCGGAACAAAUGGUGGAGCGGUGAAAUGCGUAGAUAUCUGGAAGAACACCGGUGGCGAAGGCGGCCUUCUGGACGAUGACUGACGCUGAGACGCGAAAGCGUGGGGAGCAAACAGG